Molecule: non-coding RNA, 280 nt
Organism: Vicugna pacos (alpaca)
Lineage: Eukaryota; Metazoa; Chordata; Mammalia; Artiodactyla; Camelidae
Source: RefSeq, a predicted model, not a curated record
UUCCAUAAGAAGCCAGCGGCCAUCUCUGCUGGACCACAGGAGCAGCUAUCACACUUGAAGAGUAGCUUAGAGGUACCAUCACUCACCCAUAGUGAUCGAUGUUGCAUAUUCAAACUACACAAGCAAGUAUGUGGUGAAAAGUGACUCCCUCUUCAUCUACCCUGAAUACUCAUGCACCACUUCUUAAAAGUAACCACAGGACAAGACUAACUGCCUCCAAAAAUCUUAAGGAGCACACGAGGUAAUACUGAAGCGGACCUAGCCUGUCACCAACUUACAG